UGUGUCAUAAACGGGCUGAAAAACAAAUAUAUAUAGUGAUUAAAUUUGGAAUUGAGUAAUUAGGUUUAUUGGUGCAGUUUCUGCGAAAUAUUAGUGUCGAUGCCGCUUUAAUAUUUGUGAAUAAUGGAAGAAUGAUAUUUCGGCAUUUGAGAAUAUAGAUGAUAAUGUGACAAGUGGACACUCCUUCACAGAAUAUGUAAACAUUUAAAGAACGAGGAAAAUGUUCAAAAUGGCAAGCACAACAAGAAUUUUGGCAUUCCUACUUAUAGUUUUGACUACCCUGACAAGAACGUCGAUAGCUAAAAAUGAAGAAUCACAAUCACUAUCAUCAUCAACAACAACAACAACGACAAUUCCAAUA
Molecule: long non-coding RNA, 361 nt
Organism: Mercenaria mercenaria
Lineage: Eukaryota; Metazoa; Mollusca; Bivalvia; Venerida; Veneridae
Exons: 3
Source: RefSeq, a predicted model, not a curated record